This 301-nucleotide ribosomal RNA is filed under the name uncultured bacterium. RNAcentral describes it as "partial 16S ribosomal RNA". It matches the Rfam family "Bacterial small subunit ribosomal RNA", at positions 509 to 807 of the family's 1533-position model. The record is from RNAcentral.
CAGUCGCCACGGGAAUACGUAGGGUGCGAGCGUUAAUCGGAAUUACUGGGCGUAAAGCGUGCGCAGGCGGUUAUAUAAGACAGAUGUGAAAUCCCCGGGCUCAACCUGGGACCUGCAUUUGUGACUGUAUAGCUAGAGUACGGUAGAGGGGGAUGGAAUUCCGCGUGUAGCAGUGAAAUGCGUAGAUAUGCGGAGGAACACCGAUGGCGAAGGCAAUCCCCUGGACCUGUACUGACGCUCAUGCACGAAAGCGUGGGGAGCAAACAGGAUUAGAUACCCCAGUAGUCCCUGUCUCUUAUAC